This 1029-nucleotide long non-coding RNA is filed under the name Durio zibethinus. RNAcentral describes it as "long non-coding RNA (DZIB_LNC000297)". Lineage: Eukaryota; Viridiplantae; Streptophyta; Magnoliopsida; Malvales; Malvaceae. The record is from RNAcentral.
UUUCAAAAAUCAGACAAUCACAUAAAAUAUAGAUGGAGAUACAAUAUUAACAAACUUAGAUGAGAUUCAUAAUCAACAAAUUUAAAACGCUAUUCUAACUCUUGGGACUCAUUAAUGUCAGAACCCGUCAAUCCCUUCUUCUGUUCAUUGUCCCCACUAGAACCGCUUUCAAACUCAUUAUCAGAUUCCAAAUAUAUCAAUCUGCUUACUCCUGUUAGGAAAAUGAUAAGCAAAAAGGCAAGUGGUGGAGACCCAUUAACGUUUAUUUUUAACUAAUAAAGGACUUUGAACAAAAUCAAAUACAAAAUCAGAUUAUCACCCAAAAUAAGCCAAAAUCACCAACAUUAUAUAAUUUUCAUUUCAAAUUAAAUUUAAGAUGAAUAAUAAAAUCCAAAUUACAACCUUAACAUUAAACCAAACUUCAACGAAAAACAAAUGGAAGUAAAGAGGAAAGGAACAGACCAGAGAGCUUGUGAUCUUCAAGUUGCAGAUCUAAAACCCUAACAGCAGGGCCAGCAUUGGAGACCCUAACGACCGAAGGCUCGGACACUUUUGCAGCAGGAUUUAGGUAAGUAUUGGAGCGAGAUAGUGUUGGAAGACCCCACUUUGAUUUUACCGAAACAAAGAAAGCGUGGGAUCAAUUGGAUGAAAUUGAACGGGAACAAAUGCACCAAAAACGAAGAAGACAGAGUGAAUUGGAUUGGGUGAGUCUAAGUGUCCAUGUGAACACUAUUGGAAAGACCCUCUAUCCCUAUUCUAGUUCAUCAUUAUUCUUUUCAAAAAAAGAAUAACAUAUGCUUACCUUGGGAUGUAUCGGAAAACACAGAUAUUGGAACAAAGUCUUUUAUCAUGUCCAUGGAAUAACACCUUAGGGAGGGAGAGAGGAAAGUCAUGAAAUUGAAGGAGAAGAGGAGAGUCGUGAGAUUAAAAGAGACAGGAUAGCGCGAUUGGAGGGGGAGAGGAGAGUCGGAAGACUGAAAGAGAGAGAUUUUAGUUUUAAGAAUUUAUAUUUUAAAGUCAAAAUUUUAA